AAGUCGUAACAAGGUUUCCGUAGGUGAACCUGCGGAAGGAUCAUUAUCGAAAUCGAACCUCGGGGGAAGGGGGGAGGGUCUCCCGAACCCCCUCCGAGGCUUUCAACCCCUUCCAACACCUGUGUGCACCCGCUGUAGGUCCCUCUGGGGGGACCUAUGUCUUCCCUCCCACUCGCAUGUCUACAGAAUGUCUUCCGUGGCGUCGGGCCACCGUAAACCGUAAUACAACUUUCAGCAACGGAUCUCUUGGCUCUC
RNAcentral lists this unclassified non-coding RNA (255 nucleotides) under Scleroderma meridionale. RNAcentral's name for it is "partial internal transcribed spacer region". The stretch from base 1 to 46 matches the Rfam family "Eukaryotic small subunit ribosomal RNA", at positions 1786 to 1831 of the family's 1831-position model. Lineage: Eukaryota; Fungi; Basidiomycota; Agaricomycetes; Boletales; Sclerodermataceae. The record is from RNAcentral.